This is a ribosomal RNA of 102 nucleotides. It matches the Rfam family "Bacterial small subunit ribosomal RNA", at positions 1 to 96 of the family's 1533-position model.
AGAUUAAACUGAAGAGUUUGAUCCUGGCUCAGAUUGAACGCUGGCGGCAUGCCUUACACAUGCAAGUCGAACGGCAGCACGGAGCUUGCUCUGGUGGCGAGU